AGGUAGAAGUUGGCGAAGAAUGCGAUUCACAAGUUCUCGAUGUGGUUCAAAAGUUGAAGACUCACUUCAGCAGUCCACGUCUCCACUCUUCCUAACCUGUGCCUAUAUGUUUUAAUAAAUAUCCGGUAAAGCCGUCUUUUCAGAGAGCUCAUACGAGAGAACCAUUCUGCCGAUUAAUCCCUAGUAACUCAGCUUUGGCAUAAUCUAGUGUUAUUCACAAGCUGAGUACUGUCUCAUACUUUCCUGUAUCUUCAUGAAAGUCUUUGUACUGUGAUCUAAGCCAAAUCCCUAGAAAAUUAGCUCCCUACUGUGAUCUAAGCCAAAUCUGCCGAAAAUUAGCUCCCUAAUGUGCCAAAUCCUGAUUGUUUUCAUUUAUCCUACUGAUUGCAGUCGACAUUAGAGGCACAGCAAAAAGAGAGAUUUUUCUCUAGUCUAAGGCGGCGCUAGGGUUCCUGGUGUUUCGUUCCUACAGUGAACCUGCUUCUCAUCCAACCUUGUACUAUGUUGCAAGGCAAUGUUUUAGUAUGGAAUUGCAGGGGUGUUGUGUGCAACGAGACCCAACGAGCCCUUAUUGAUCUGGUUCAAUUAAAGAAGCCAAAUCUGAUCAUUUUGGCGAAGACCCUUGCUCAGCCAUCUCAUAUUGCCUCUCUUGCGAACAGGCUUGGUUUUGCAGGACAUAUAUGCUACCCUCAUGAGGAUGGAUCCCAGGGAUUGGCGCUGCUUUGGAGUAGUGAAAUUCAUGUUGAUCUCAGAACGAAAUCCCCUCAUCAUAUAGAUGUUGAGAUUAGUGAUCCGGGUAAACAGGAGAAGUAUCGCUUCACAGGAUUGUAUGGCUUUGCAGCCAGAGGUGAACGUAGCAGAACUUGGGACUUAAUUCGUGCCCUAGCUGCAGAAGUUUGUCAUCUACCUUGGCUCAUGGUAGGUGACUUCAACGAGGUUACGUGUCUAGCAGACAAAUCCGGAGAUCCCCUCAUGCUGUUGCUCCUAUGGCGGCAUUCCGACAACGAUGAUUGACUGCGGCUUCAUCGACAUGGGUUUCUUGGGUAGUAGGUAUACUUGGUCCAACAAGUUUACCAAGGAAAGGCUGGAUAGAAGCUUUCAGUCAGUUUCCUUUCGAACCAUGUUUCCUAAUAGCAAAACGGUGGUGUUGCCACCCAAUGAAUCAAACCAUUGUCCCAUUGUAGUGGAACUGAGAACUGAUAGAAAUAGGUUUAGAACACCUUGGCGCAGAUUCAGAUUUGAGGAGAUAUGGCACGAAAAUGAACAAUGUUCUGACAUUAUUCUAAAGAAUUGGGCAAUCCCUAUGGUAGGCAACAUGCUACAGCAGGUUGGUCGAAAGAUUUUGGCCACUGGAAAACAACUUAUGAAGUGGCACACCACUGAGUUUGAGAGGCAGAAAGUGGAAUUGAGGGAGAUUCGGGAGAAAUUGGCGGAUAUAAUGCGGCAACCUUUUGCUCCAGAAUAGUAUGAGGAGCAACAUCUCCUUCAUGUAAGACACAGUCAAUUGCUUUCUCAGCAAGAAAAAUAUUGGAGACAACGAUCUAGGGCGGUCUGGCUAAAGGAGGGUGACAGAAACUCGGCUUUCUUUCAUCGAAAGGCCACUAACAGGAGGUGUAAAAAUUGCAUCAGAGGGCUUGUGAAUGAUGUGGGUAUUUGGCAAACUGAUCCUACUGUUGUUCAAGGCAUGUUGGUUGAUUAUUAUAAAACUGUUUUUUUCACUGAGGGAACGGAUGAUAGUGCACUCUCCACUAUUUUUUGCGCCACCCCAAUGAAAGUGUUACCUCAUAUGAAUGAUGAUUUACUGCAGCCCUAUACAGAUGAUGAAAUCAAGCAUGCAUUAUUUCAAAUGCAUCCUUCUAAAAGCCCGAGGCCUGAUGGUAUGUCUCAUUUCUUCUAUCAAAAAUAUUGGCAUAUUGUUGGUUUUGAUGUUUGUGUUGCAAUUCAAAAUUUUUGGAAAAAGGAGAUAUUUGGGCAGCUUCCAACUUCACUCAUCUUUGCCUUAUUCCGAAAGUCAAGAAUCCCACUGUUGCCUCUCAUUUUAGACCUAUUGCACUCUGUAAUGUUCUGUACAGAAUAAGUUCCAAGGUCAUUGCCAACAGGUUAAAGAAGUGGUUAGCUGAGAUUAUUUCUCCCCUACAAAGUGCGUAUGUCCCAGGACGAUUGAUAUCAGACAACACUUUGGUUGCAACUGAGGCUGCACACUUUAUGUAUAAACUACGGACUCCAAAAUGAAGGCUUCUUCUCUCUCAAGUUAGACAUCUCAAAAGCAUAUGACCGGCUAGAAUGGACCUCCUUGCGAACUAUGUUAACCAAGUUGGGUUUUGAUGUGAGGUGGAUCAAUAUAAUUAUGAAAUGUGUGGAGUCUGUUACCUAUGCCAUCCUGGUUAAUGGUGAACAAACUGAGAUAAUUACUCCGACUCAUGGGAUAAGGCAGGGUGAUCCACUCUCUCCAUACCUAUUCAUCUUAUGUGCUGAAGGGCUUUCAGCUCUUCUUUCUCAAGUAGUUGAUGCAGGUGCUAUUUAAGGUUUAAAGAUGUGUCCUGAAGCCCUACACUACAUCAUUUGUUCUUCGCGGAUGAUAGUUUUCUUUUUGGAGCUGCAACGAUUCACGAAUGUUAGACUAUUUGUGAAAUUGUCAAUAUCUAUGAAAAAGCUUCGAGAUAGAAGAUUAAUUUUCAGAAAA
This is a long non-coding RNA of Rosa chinensis, 2683 nucleotides long. RefSeq lists it as uncharacterized. Lineage: Eukaryota; Viridiplantae; Streptophyta; Magnoliopsida; Rosales; Rosaceae. The record is from RefSeq and is a predicted model, not a curated record. The transcript is spliced from 2 exons.